RNAcentral lists this ribosomal RNA (329 nucleotides) under uncultured eukaryote. RNAcentral's name for it is "partial 18S ribosomal RNA". It matches the Rfam family "Eukaryotic small subunit ribosomal RNA", at positions 1470 to 1796 of the family's 1831-position model. The record is from RNAcentral.
CCCUUAGAUGUUCUGGGCCGCACGCGCGCUACACUGACGAUGGCAACGAGUUUUUCCUUCGCCGAAAGGUGUGGGUAAUCUUUUGAAACAUCGUCGUGCUGGGGAUAGAUCAUUGCAAUUUUUGAUCUUGAACGAGGAAUUCCUAGUAAGCGCGAGUCAUCAGCUCGCGUUGAUUACGUCCCUGCCCUUUGUACACACCGCCCGUCGCUACUACCGAUUGAAUGGUUUAGUGAGGGCUCCUGAUUGGCGCCGCCGCCCCGGCAACGGAGCAGCGGACUGCCGAAAAGUUGUUCAAACUUGAUCAUUUAGAGGAAGUAAAAGUCGUAACA